CUUUAAGGUCGGGGAUCUAAAGAUAACCAUGCAUGUCUAAGUAUAAACACGUUUGUACUGUGAAACUGCAGACGGCUCAUUAAAACAGAAAUAAUUUAUUUGACAAUUGAAUGCGACACGGAUAACCGUGGUAACUCCAGGGCUAAUACGUGACAAGAACGGGCAACCGUCGUGCAUAUUAGCUUAAACCAAUCAUUUCGUUGAACCAUAAUAUUCUGUCGGAUCGCGUUGGCUCUGCCAGCGACAUGUCAUUCAAGUUUCUGCCCUAUCAGCUCGUCGGUAGGGUAUUGGCCUACCGAGGCGUUAACGGGUACGGGGAAUCGGGGUUCGGUUCCGGAGAGGCAGCCUGAGAAACGGCUACCACAUCUACGGAAGGCAGCAGGUGCGAAAAUUGCCCAAUCCUGACUCAGGGAGGCAGUGACCAGAAAUAACGACUAGCAACCAUUGGUUGCAAUUCGGAAUGAGCACAAAGUAAAACUCUUAGCGAUCACCAAGUGGAGGGCAAGUCUGGUGCCAGCAGCCGCGGGAAUACCAGCUCCACUAGCGUAUACUAAAGUUGUUGCUGUUAAAACGCUCCUAGUUGGAUAUCAGCCCCGGGGGCAUGGCCCGGCCGUGUUACGGCCGCGCGCCAAAGUGGGGUCUUCCCGCCGCCUCCUAGGCUUUUUCAGGAGUGCCUGUCUGCCCAUUAGCUUGGGUCGGGCAGGCGUGCUCUGAUCUUUUACUUUGAGGAAAUUAGAGUGCUCAAAGCAGGCUCCGCCUGAAUGCUUAUCAUGGAAUAACAACAAAGACUUUGGGGGCUCGGCGCCUUUUACAGGGGUCGGGCCGAAUUUGUUGGUUUGGGCCAAAGUAAUGAUUGAUAGGAACAAACGGGGGUGCUAGUAUCGCGGGGCGAGAGGUAAAAUUCUAUGAUCCCCGCGAGACUGCCGCAUGCGAAAGCAUUCACCAAGCGUGUUUUCUUUAAUCAAGAACUAAAGCUUGAGGAUUGAAAACGAUCAGAUACCGUUGUAAUUCAAGCCAUAAACCAUGUCGACUAAGUAUUGGGCAUGAACGAACAUCCCCAGCACUUUAUGAGAAAUCAAAGUUUUCGGACUCAGGGGGAAGUAUGCUCACAAGAGUGAAAUUUAAAGGAAUUGACGGGAGGGCACCACCAGGAGUGGAGCCUGCGGCUCAAUUUGACUCAACACGGGAAAACUUACCAGACCAGGACAUAGUGAGGAUUGACAGAUUAAAGUUCUUUCUUGAUUCUAUGAAUAGUAGUGCAUGGCCGGUCUUAGUUGGUGGAGUGGUCCGUCUGGUUAAUUCCGAUAACGAACGAGACCCCAGCCAUCUGACUAGCCGUCGCUACUCGUUAGCGCUCGUGCUUUGCGCGAGUUCGGCUUCUUAGAGGGACCAACUGCGUUCAGCAGUGGGAAGCGUGGGGCAAUAACAGGUCAGUGAUGCUCUUAUAAGGUCUGGGCUGCACGCGUGCUACAUUGGCGCAUUCAGCGAGUCCAACCUGCCUCGAAAGGGGUGGGUAACCUUUAAUGUGCGCCCAAGUGGGGAUAGACGAUUGUAAUUGUUCGUCUUGAACUAGGAACUCCUAGUAAACGCAAGUCAUCAUCUUGCAUUGAUUACGUCCCUGCCCUUUGUACACACCGCCCGUCGCUCCUACCGAUUGAAUAAACCGGUGAACUGGGUGGAGGGGCCGCCUUCCUUGUGGUGGCAGCCCCGAAGCUCCGUGAAUCUGCUUAUUUAGAGGAAGGACAAGUCGUAACAAGGUUUCC
RNAcentral lists this ribosomal RNA (1763 nucleotides) under Haplosporidium tuxtlensis. RNAcentral's name for it is "SSU rRNA". It matches the Rfam family "Eukaryotic small subunit ribosomal RNA". Lineage: Eukaryota; Endomyxa; Ascetosporea; Haplosporida; Haplosporidiidae. The record is from RNAcentral.